This 2098-nucleotide unclassified non-coding RNA is filed under the name Hevea brasiliensis (rubber tree). Lineage: Eukaryota; Viridiplantae; Streptophyta; Magnoliopsida; Malpighiales; Euphorbiaceae. The record is from RNAcentral.
AUUAUGCCACUGCCUCCGUUCUCUUCUAACCUGUCACUAAAUCGACGAGUCCUGCUCUUGCUUCACCUACCCCCCCGACUCUCUCUCUCUGUCUCUCUCUGCGCCAAAACCCACUUCUCUUUUUCAUCUAUGGAGGCCUCUAUUGCUCUCUCUCGCGUAGGUCUCGCUGGCCUCGCUGUCAUGGGUCAGAAUCUGGCCCUCAACAUAGCCGAGAAGGGGUUCCCUAUCUCCGUCUACAACCGGACUGUCUCCAAGGUUGAUGAGACCAUCCACCGCGCCCACAACGAGGGAACAUUCCCUUUAACGGGUCACUACACUCCCCGUGAUUUCGUUCUUUCUAUCCAACGGCCAAGAUCCGUCAUCAUCCUGGUCAAAGCCGGCGCCCCUGUUGACCAGACCAUCGCCUCCUUGUCGGAGUACAUGGAGCCCGGCGAUUGUAUCAUAGAUGGUGGUAACGAGUGGUAUCAGAACACUGAGCGGCGAAUCCACGAAGUUAAUGACAAGGGUAUUCUUUAUUUGGGCAUGGGAGUAUCUGGCGGCGAGGAAGGUGCUCGUCACGGUCCGUCUUUGAUGCCUGGUGGGUCUUUUGAAGCGUACAAUAAUAUUACGGAUAUAUUGCAGAAAGUAGCUGCCCAGGUUGAAGAUGGGCCGUGUGUAACUUAUAUUGGUGAAGGGGGUUCAGGGAAUUUUGUCAAGAUGGUGCAUAAUGGGAUAGAGUACGGUGAUAUGCAGCUGAUUUCGGAGGCCUACGAUGUGUUAAAGAAUGUGGGCGGAUUGUCCAACGCGGAAUUAGCGGAGAUUUUCACAGAGUGGAACAAGGGAGAACUAGAGAGCUUCCUGAUUGAGAUUACAUCGGACAUUUUCAGGGUUAGAGAUGAGCAUGGAGAUGGGGACUUGGUGGAUAAGAUUUUGGAUAAGACUGGAAUGAAAGGGACUGGGAAAUGGACUGUGCAGCAAGCUGCAGAGCUUUCUGUUGCGGCACCAACCAUUGCUGCUUCUUUGGAUUGUAGGUAUUUGAGUGGGUUGAAGGAGGAGAGAGAAAGCGCAGCCGAGGUUUUGAAGGAGGCGGGAUUAAAGGAGGAAGUGGGGACUGUUAAGAGUGGUAUUGAUAAGAAGAGGUUGAUUGAUGAUGUGAGGCAAGCAUUGUAUGCUUCCAAGAUUUGUAGUUACGCCCAAGGGAUGAACUUGUUGAGGGCUAAGAGUAAUGAGAAGGGGUGGAAUUUGAAUUUAGGGGAAUUGGCCAGGAUUUGGAAAGGUGGGUGUAUUAUAAGGGCAGUGUUUUUGGAUAGGAUUAAGAAGGCUUAUCAGAGGAAUCCCAAUUUGGCUAGCUUAGUUGUGGAUCCUGAAUUUGCUAGGGAGAUGGUUCAGAGGCAGUCAGCGUGGAGAAGAGUUGUUGGUUUGGCUAUUUCAGCAGGUAUUAGCACACCAGGAAUGUGUGCAAGUCUUGCUUACUUUGAUACUUAUAGGCGUGCUAGGCUACCAGCAAAUCUUGUUCAAGCCCAGAGGGAUUUGUUUGGUGCACAUACUUAUGAAAGGGUUGAUCGCCCUGGGUCAUUCCAUACCGAGUGGACAAAACUUGCCCGCAAGAGCAAUUCUGGUGUUGGUGCUUUCAACUGAGUUUUUCAUGGUUUGGUUCCUUCUUUGUUUCAGUUGUGUGUUGAUGAUGUUUCUAUUUGAAUUAGGGUUGUACGUCUCAUUGAGGAUUCUCUUGCCUACGCAGAGCAAUUAUUGGUUAGCCUCACGGUUUUUACUUUUAAUAAGAAACGCAUGCCUCUUGGGAUCUAUAAGGUGUUCACUUUGAGCUAGACAGGAUAGAGUUCACUUUUUCUUUUAACACUUAUUUCUUUGCUUUGUCUCAAUAAUGUUAUCAUCUCUUGUGAGGCUAUUUGAUUUGGAGCACUAUAAGGCAUGUGCCUGAGAUGCUCUUUUUUUUUUUUUUUAGUUUGUCUUUGUCAGAAUUCAAGUCUUGCUGAUUGAUCGUUCCUAUUCUAUACCAAAUGAUGAUUUUUUUUAGUGCCUCUAAGGGCUUUUGAAGCACUUCAUUGUUGUAGCUUUAAUGUAAGAUUAUUUUCAUGCAAAGUUUUAGCUUUCAUUUGCC